GGUGUGACUGCGUACCUUUUGUAUAAUGGGUCAGCGACUUAUAUUCUGUAGCAAGGUUAACCGUAUAGGGGAGCCGCAGGGAAACCGAGUCUUAACUGGGCGUUAAGUUGCAGGGUAUAGACCCGAAACCCGGUGAUCUAGCCAUGGGCAGGUUGAAGGUUGGGUAACACUAACUGGAGGACCGAACCGACUAAUGUUGAAAAAUUAGCGGAUGACUUGUGGCUGGGGGUGAAAGGCCAAUCAAACCGGGAGAUAGCUGGUUCUCCCCGAAAGCUAUUUAGGUAGCGCCUCGUGAACUCAUCUUCGGGGGUAGAGCACUGUUUCGGCUAGGGGGUCAUCCCGACUUACCAACCCGAUGCAAACUACGAAUACCGAAGAAUGUUAUCACGGGAGACACACGGCGGGUGCUAACGUCCGUCGUGAAGAGGGAAACAACCCAGACCGCCAGCUAAGGUCCCAAAGUCAUGGUUAAGUGGGAAACGAUGUGGGAAGGCACAGACAGCCAGGAUGUUGGCUUAGAAGCAGCCAUCAUUUAAAGAAAGCGUAAUAGCUCACUGGUCGAGUCGGCCUGCGCGGAAGAUGUAACGGGGCUAAACCAUGCACCGAAGCUGCGGCAGCGACACUAUGUGUUGUUGGGUAGGGGAGCGUUCUGUAAGCCUGCGAAGGUGACCUGUGAGGGUUGCUGGAGGUAUCAGAAGUGCGAAUGCUGACAUAAGUAACGAUAAAGCGGGUGAAAAGCCCGCUCGCCGGAAGACCAAGGGUUCCUGUCCAACGUUAAUCGGGGCAGGGUGAGUCGACCCCUAAGGCGAGGCCGAAAGGCGUAGUCGAUGGGAAACAGGUUAAUAUUCCUGUACUUGGUGUUACUGCGAAGGGGGGACGGAGAAGGCUAUGUUAGCCGGGCGACGGUUGUCCCGGUUUAAGCAUGUAGGCUGGUUAUCCAGGCAAAUCCGGAUAAUCAAGGCUGAGGUGUGAUGACGAGGCACUACGGUGCUGAAGUAACAAAUGCCCUGCUUCCAGGAAAAGCCUCUAAGCAUCAGGUAACAUCAAAUCGUACCCCAAACCGACACAGGUGGUCAGGUAGAGAAUACCAAGGCGCUUGAGAGAACUCGGGUGAAGGAACUA
This 1122-nucleotide ribosomal RNA is filed under the name Klebsiella quasipneumoniae. Its description in RNAcentral is "partial 23S ribosomal RNA". It matches the Rfam family "Bacterial large subunit ribosomal RNA", at positions 590 to 1715 of the family's 2925-position model. Lineage: Bacteria; Pseudomonadati; Pseudomonadota; Gammaproteobacteria; Enterobacterales; Enterobacteriaceae. The record is from RNAcentral.